This is a long non-coding RNA of Alosa sapidissima (American shad), 579 nucleotides long. RefSeq lists it as uncharacterized. The record is from RefSeq and is a predicted model, not a curated record. The transcript has 6 exons. Lineage: Eukaryota; Metazoa; Chordata; Actinopteri; Clupeiformes; Clupeidae.
AACUUUGCUACAAACUCUGCCGUCAUCAUAUCCAAGGCAGUGAGUUGUGAGGACUGCUUCCCUGAGAACACUGAGUGCAUUCUGGAAUAUUCCAAAUGUGUGCCACUUCCAUACAAAAGAAGUUUCAAUCCCGCAAGAGAGUUCACUCACCAGUGGGCUCCAUCAACAGACCAGGGCAAAGUCGGUCUGUCCUGCUACUACUACAUGCUACUUGACUAUGUCUGGAAGCCAUGGCUGCUGCCCUCAACAUGCUAAACUGAAACCCUCACUAAUAAACUGAUAUCAAUAAUUAACAUUGAUGGUGAUGGUGGCAAGGGUGCCUUCAUAAGGUGCCAUCCAGCAAGUCCCAGCCUGGAGCCAGAGGCUGGCACUGCACGUCAGAUGGGGGAGGAUCUAUGUUAGGCAUCAGAAAGACACCUGACUUUUACUGCCAAAGGGACCAUCAGAGCACCUCUCCCUACCAUCUAUACCAGAAGAGUACGGACAAGGGCCCAAAAUGUUUUAAAGGACGUUGCACGCCCAGACCAUGGACUGUUUAAACCACUGUGGUCAAGCAGAAGUCUCUCACUCGAGGCAGGU